GCGGGAAUAGCUCAGAGGUAGAGCACAACCUUGCCAAGGUUGGGGUCGCGGGUUCAAAUCCCGUUUCCCGCUCCA
Molecule: transfer RNA, 75 nt
Filed under: bacterium
Lineage: Bacteria
Also listed under: 4 other names
Description: tRNA-Gly
Rfam family: tRNA
About the family: Transfer RNA (tRNA) molecules are approximately 80 nucleotides in length. Their secondary structure includes four short double-helical elements and three loops (D, anti-codon, and T loops).
Source: RNAcentral